This 254-nucleotide ribosomal RNA is filed under the name uncultured bacterium. RNAcentral describes it as "partial 16S ribosomal RNA". It matches the Rfam family "Bacterial small subunit ribosomal RNA", at positions 524 to 776 of the family's 1533-position model. The record is from RNAcentral.
CACGGGGGGGAGCAAGCGUUGUUCGGAAUCACUGGGCGUAAAGGGCGUGUAGGCGGUCAGGUAAGUGGGAUGUGAAAUGCCUCGGCUCACCCGAGGCACUGCAUUCCAAACUGCUUGGCUUGAGUAUGGGAGAGGAUGAGGGAAUUCCUGGUGUAGCGGUGAAAUGCGUAGAUAUCAGGAGGAACACCAGUGGCGAAGGCGACUUACUGGACACAUAUUGACGCUGAGGUGCGAAAGCGUGGGGAGCAAACAGG